RNAcentral lists this non-coding RNA (175 nucleotides) under Candidatus Gallimonas merdigallinarum. RNAcentral describes it as "Lysine riboswitch". It matches the Rfam family "Lysine riboswitch aptamer". Rfam says of the family: Riboswitches are metabolite binding domains within certain messenger RNAs that serve as precision sensors for their corresponding targets. Allosteric rearrangement of mRNA structure is mediated by ligand binding, and this results in modulation of gene expression. Lineage: Bacteria; Bacillati; Bacillota; Clostridia. The record is from RNAcentral.
AAAAGAGGAGCGGCAGAACAUGAGUACCGCGCGCGGAGGAAAAAAGUAAGGUUUUCCGUCCAACGCCCGCGGGAAAGGGUAUCGCCGCCGAAGCGCGCUCUCUUCCUUACGCGGCGCGCUGGGAGUAUGGGAGAAUACCUCUAUUCCUGUCACCGCCCCCGGUGAAGCGCUUUUU